RNAcentral lists this ribosomal RNA (200 nucleotides) under uncultured bacterium. Its description in RNAcentral is "partial 16S ribosomal RNA". It matches the Rfam family "Bacterial small subunit ribosomal RNA", at positions 30 to 232 of the family's 1533-position model. The record is from RNAcentral.
AUCGAACGCUGGCGGCAGGCCUAACACAUGCAAGUCGAGCGCGAAAGUUCUUCGGAAUGAGUAAAGCGGCGGACGGGUGAGUAAUACAUGGGAGUCUGCCUGGUAGUGGGGGACAACGUUUCGAAAGGAACGCUAAUACCGCAUACGCCCUACGGGGGAAAGGGGGGGGAUCUUCGGACCUCUCGCUAUCAGAUGAGCCC